AAGCAGCUCUGAGCUGUGCUAUUGGGGCGCUUCUCGUAGGCAUCUUGAGCCCACUGGGGCAGAAAGCGGGGCUUCCAAGGUCUCUCUCAGGGAGCUCCCCGCUUCCCGCCCACACCCCAGCUGCGUCUGCUCCUCUGACUCCCAGGGCUGUGCCUGCAGCCUGCCUGCUCCCUGUGAGCCCGCCCUGGGAGCAGGGAUGCAGACGCCCUGAGGUUCUCGCGCUGCUGGGAGCCCUAGUGUGGGCGCAAGCUCCCUGCGAUCAGGGACGCAGCUUCCUCUGGAACGCACGCUCGGCCCCGCCCCCCCCCAUCCUGCAGACUGUGGGCACUUCCUAAGCUCUGCUGUGCCCCACAGCAGGGACUGUAACCACGGAUGAAGUCUGCCCGUUUCCGGGUUCUGAGGAUCGCCCUUGGACUGUGUACUGUCAGGAGAUGAGUUUUUAAUGAGAGGCCAAGCGUGCUUGAUUGCUGCAGUCUGUGAAGUUCCUGACACCAGCGAGCUGUCCCCUGGCUGCAGCAGGGAGGAUGGGGCGGAGCUUGCUAGGAUGGACACCUUGGGCCCUGCCCCCUUCCGGCUGCUGACUAGAACCUGCCUCUUACCUAGAUGCCCCUGCGAAUCACGCACACGGACCAGGACAAAACGAGGCCCCCGUGAGAACAAUGAGGACGCGGGACCCCGCGCGAGGCCCCCGUGGGAACAAUGAAGACGCGGGACCCCGCGCGAGGCCCCCGUGGGAACAACCACCAAGAAUCCCAAGAUGGUGACAAUGAAGCCGGGUGCUUCCGAUGGGGGGGGGGGGCAGCGUGUGGGACUGCACAGGUGCCACGGCCAUGACCUUGAGCACGGAAGGAAACAGAGCACCCUGGACAGGUCGUGCUAUCCAGUUCCCUGUGGGAGUUCUUAUUGUCAAGUCUUGUAAUUAAAAAGCUCCAACCUCUCACCCCUUGUGCAGUUUUUCUCCAUACGCAAAUAUAAAUAGUUUCGAAUGGCUGUAAUUACAGUGUAGUUCAUUGUUCCAAAACCACAAACCUGCGUGUGUCUUUACAGCCGUAGAUGGAAGCUGGAAUGGGAAGACCCUGGCUCUUGCUCAUCUGACUGGCAGUGGACAGAUGUUGAGAUAUCGCACAGCAAUACUGACCGCUAGGCGUCUUAGAAAGGUUUCGUUCCUAUUUACUUUAGGUUUGUCUCCACAAUAAAAAUGCACUCAGGCCGGUGUUUAGGAACCA
RNAcentral lists this long non-coding RNA (1226 nucleotides) under Oryctolagus cuniculus (rabbit). RNAcentral's name for it is "lncRNA (ENSOCUG00000032604.1)". The record is from RNAcentral. Lineage: Eukaryota; Metazoa; Chordata; Mammalia; Lagomorpha; Leporidae.